RNAcentral lists this ribosomal RNA (405 nucleotides) under Bacillota bacterium. RNAcentral describes it as "Firmicutes bacterium partial 16S ribosomal RNA". It matches the Rfam family "Bacterial small subunit ribosomal RNA", at positions 355 to 776 of the family's 1533-position model. The record is from RNAcentral. Lineage: Bacteria; Bacillati; Bacillota.
UCGGGAAUUUUGCCCAAUGGACGAAAGUCUGAGGCAGCAACUCCGCGUGAGGGAUGAAGGCUCUCGGGUCGUAAACCUCUUUUCUCAGGGAAGAUCCAAGACGGUACCUGAGGAAUAAGCGACGGCUAACUACGUGCCAGCAGCCGCGGUAAUACGUAGGUCGCAAGCGUUGUCCUGAUUUACUGGGCGUAAAGAGCGCGCAGGCGGCUGGCCAAGUCCGAUGUGAAAUCUCCCGGCUCAACUGGGAAACUGCAUCGGAAACUGGCCGGCUUGAAGGUGGGAGAGGGUAGUGGAAUUCCCGGUGUAGUGGUGAAAUGCGUAGAUAUCGGGAGGAACACCAGGGGCGAAGGCGACUACCUGGCCCAUUCUUGACGCUGAGGCGCGAAAGCUAGGGGAGCGAACGGG